GCCCAUUGCGGACUGAGAUGGCUCAGUUGGUAGAACAUGGGACUCAAUCUCAGGGUUGUGGGUUCAAGCCCCAUGUUGGGCA
This is a non-coding RNA of Podarcis lilfordi (Lilford's wall lizard), 82 nucleotides long. The record is from the annotation of a GenBank genome assembly. Lineage: Eukaryota; Metazoa; Chordata; Lepidosauria; Squamata; Lacertidae.